UAGGGAAUCUUCCGCAAUGGACGCAAGUCUGACGGAGCAACGCCGCGUGAGUGAAGAAGGAUUUCGGUUCGUAAAACUCUGUUGUUAGAGAAGAACAGCGCAUAGAGUAACUGUUAUGCGUGUGACGGUAUCUAACCAGAAAGCCACGGCUAACUACGUGCCAGCAGCCGCGGUAAUACGUAGGUGGCAAGCGUUGUCCGGAUUUAUUGGGCGUAAAGCGAGCGCAGGCGGUCAAUCAAGUCUGAUGUGAAAGCCCCCGGCUCAACCGGGGAGGGUCAUUGGAAACUGGUUGACUUGAGUGCAGAAGAGGAGAGUGGAAUUCCAUGUGUAGCGGUGAAAUGCGUAGAUAUAUGGAGGAACACCAGUGGCGAAGGCGACUCUCUGGUCUGUAACUGACGCUGAGGCUCGAAAGCGUGGGUAGCAAACAGG
RNAcentral lists this ribosomal RNA (429 nucleotides) under Bacteroidota bacterium. RNAcentral describes it as "Bacteroidetes bacterium partial 16S ribosomal RNA". It matches the Rfam family "Bacterial small subunit ribosomal RNA", at positions 355 to 776 of the family's 1533-position model. The record is from RNAcentral. Lineage: Bacteria; Pseudomonadati; Bacteroidota.